This 394-nucleotide ribosomal RNA is filed under the name uncultured Rhodoferax sp. RNAcentral's name for it is "bacterial SSU rRNA". It matches the Rfam family "Bacterial small subunit ribosomal RNA", at positions 987 to 1382 of the family's 1533-position model. The record is from RNAcentral. Lineage: Bacteria; Pseudomonadati; Pseudomonadota; Betaproteobacteria; Burkholderiales; Comamonadaceae.
UAGUACGGAAUCCUUUAGAGAUAGAGGAGUGCUCGAAAGAGAGCCGUAACACAGGUGCUGCAUGGCUGUCGUCAGCUCGUGUCGUGAGAUGUUGGGUUAAGUCCCGCAACGAGCGCAACCCUUGUCAUUAGUUGCUACAUUUGGUUGGGCACUCUAAUGAGACUGCCGGUGACAAGCCGGAGGAAGUGGGAUGACGUCAAGUCCUCGAUGGCCCUUAUAGGUGGGGCUACACACGUCAUACAAUGGCUGGUACAAAGGGUUGCCAACCCGCGAGGGGAGCUAAUCCCACAAAGCCAGUCGUAGUCCGGAUCGUAGUCUGCAACUCGACUACGUGAAGUCGGAAUCGCUAGUAAUCGUGGAUCAGAAUGUCACGGUGAAUACGUUCCCGGGUCUU